UUCGACCUUUCAAUAGAGAGCUGAUUUUGGAGAACGGCUUAGUCCUGUGAUUGAAAAACUCUUUCUGGAAGGUUGAUGGAGCAGGAGCAUGAGCAUUUCAAUUGCUGUCCAUCACUUCCUCAGAAGCCUCAAUAUUGCCAUUCCAAAUGACUCUUUGUUUGUUGAUAUGACUGCAGUGAAGGACUGGUGCACCUCCUACAACAGAACAUGCAAGUCAGAGCUCUUGUUUGGAGGGGGCCUAGUGGAGAGACCUGGUGAAGUUAUCUGUACACACAAUCCCCUGCUUUUACUGAGGCCUCCUCAGUAAUUUGUCCCCCAACAACAGCUGAAGACAUAAGGAUAGAGACCCUUUUAGCAGAGGCUGUCCUGUUGUAUUACUAUAGGAGCAAACACUGGAAAGAAGGGAAGGAAAACUUACCAAACUUUCCCACCUGUGGCCUGCAAAACUGCUUUGUGCUUACACAGUCCUGUUAAUUUAAGAGGGUGAUUUCAUCCUGCACUGGCUCUAAGAUUCUUCACAGUGGAAAGAAGUACUCAGGUUGAAUCUGUGGGAAUCUUUCAUUGAGACAAUUGAAAUUGCUGCAGUGAGAAUGGAAAUUACUUGGGAUCCUUUCCUUUUAAAAGCUGUAUGCAAGAACUGUGUGAGAUAAACCUGCAAGGAUGCACUGUCUCCAGUGGUGGAAUGGAACUCUCCUACAUUUGCAGCUCUGAGGUCCUAUGGAUUUUGCCUGAUUAAAGAAAGAAAGGUGUAUUAUAUUCAGUCCAGAUGCUGCUAGUUUAGGAACUGUGAGGGGAAGCAGAUGCUUAAUUAUAAAUAAGGGAAAUAAAAGAAAGGCCUGCUUGAAAAUAUCUUGAGAUUAGUUGCUAUUCAAGAGUGAAGACAGCUGGUGAGAGGAGCAUGUCUGAAACUCCUGUGUUUGAAAGAUUGGAGCUGCAAACUGGUAGGGGAAAGAGAUGUGAAAUUGGAAAGUUGGAAGGACUGGUACAGGUUGGGCAAUGAUUUAGGGAUUCAUUUGUUUCUUGAAGAUGGAAGAAGCAGCAGCUUAGCAGAAGGAACCCUGCCUGAUACUGUAAAAAGAAAGCAGGGGAAAGCAGGUCAACGUUAAUGUUUAUUAGAAUGCUUAGCACUUGAGUCAGGCUGCGACAUAGCAGUUUUUGCUAUGAAAUCACUGUCCCUUUCAUUUCUCAUCCAAAUCCACAGAGAAAAGGGUGUCUUUAUUACUAUAGUCAGCUACUUCAUGAAAUUUCAUCCUGAAAUUCAAAAAUUACAAAGUAGUUGAUGUGCUACUGGAGAUCAUCUAGCCGAAGCAGAAUCAGGCAGAACAGGCCUCUCAGGGGUGUAUCUGAUCUUAAUUUGCCCCCUUGUGUUAGUCUACUAUGAAGCAAUCUUCAUGAUCAUAUGGAAUAUUCAAUGAUAGGACCAGUGUGGUGUGCUGCUGAGUCAGGGAAGGUGUUUGUAAGGCUGUACAAGGAAGAAGUUCAACUCUGCCACAGAAAUAGGUUGAAAAUUCUGUAGGGAAUGGACCAAAGUCUACAAGCAGAAGAAACUUUGUCUUUAUGUUUACGUGAAAUGAGAAAUCCUAGGAAUUAGAUGUUACAUUUAUUUUUCUGGUUUUAUUUUUGUACGGUGUACAAAUUACCAUUGAUUUUUGUAGUGUUAUGUUCCUCACUUCACAAGUGGCUUUAAGCCAUCAAGUCCAAUGGAAACACUGGAUGUCCACGUUUGCAGCUGAUCUGCUUAAGAACUGCAAACAUGAAUUUAAACUUUGUGUAAUGUUAUGUCUGCCUGUAGUCUCCUACAUAUUUCAAGUGGAAUACCUCCAACCGUUGGGUACUACUGUAGUUUCUAUAUCUUUGUGUCACGUUUAAAGUAGGGAUGAUAGUCACUCGAAGGGUUGUUUAUCUAUUUUUGCUUAUUUCAAGCUUUGUCUGUUAGUUGUGCUACAGGGAUGUGUUUCCUCAUGGGAUUUUCUAUGGCAUUUAUGACUUCAGAUCACAGAGGAAGAGAUGAAUUAUAAUCUGGUAUAACAGUUGACAGUAACAAGAGAGGGCAAGGAUAUACGCUGUGCUUGAAGAGGAAGAAUGGGAAAGAUAACAGACCCAAAGUCACUAAGCCUGUUUUCUACGAGGUCACUGAUGCUAUGAAAUUCUAAAGCCUUGCAGAGAGAGCACAGAAGAGAGACCCAACCAAACACGAAAACGAACAUCAAGAACAGUGUUUCAGACAGUCAGGAACAUUUUUAAGAACAACAUGACAGAAAUCAAACAGGGUACUUCAGAGCUGGAAAACAUAACAUUAAGCUAGCAGAAAAAAGGAAACAUUUUUUUCCUCUGACAAUUGUCCAACAGCUUCUUCACAAUGAGCUUGCUAAGUGUGCAGAGCAUAUUCCAUGAAGGAGAAGCCAGGAAGCUGUUUCUAUCAUGAGAAGUCACAUUCAGGAGAGUACCUGGCCACAAAGCGGUCACCAGCAGAGCAGUCGGUUCCACACUGAAAAACCAUGUCGUGAUGAGAAGGUCUUUCCAAAGGAAGUGGAAUUAGUGGUUUCUGAGAAGGAAAAGGACUGCUCCAGCCCUGCCCUGGCAGCUGCCCCGUAAGCACAGUGAUCUGCUCAGCCAGUGUCUCCACGGUGCUACUGCAGGAACCGAAGAUCCGGAAAAAGGCCUGCAUCUCCUGGAGGAAAAAACGCACCUCCAAGAUCUCCAGCCUCGGCUUCAGGAGGUGUUCCUGGCCCAGGAGCUCAGCCAGAGGGUACAGCUCAUAGAAUUCCGCUUCUCUGCGCAGCCUCUGGAAGUCUGAAAAAUCAGCAGGCAGAGAGACCUGAAGAGUCCUCAAGAAGUCCAUGAUGUAACUGAACAAAGCGGCAUCUCUGUCCACAAAAAACUCUCCGUUCACCAGUUUAAACUCUGGGUCGUCACCACCCAACAUGCGUGCUAACCUGGACUCGGGGAACCGCAGCAAGGUGCAGGGCCGGGUGACAAACCUCACACCUCCCACACUCACAGCAACCACCUCUCGACCGCUCAUCGCUACCUCAGCUCCGCUCCGUAUGUCUGUGACUUGAUCUCUGCUACCCCACAGGCCAUCUGGAGCAACGUGUGGGGCAGCAGCAGCGCUCCCAGGUAACAAAGAUGUAAAUACAAUACUUUUGUUUGCAGGGCUUGGUUGCUUGGAAACUUUGUUUCUUGGAAUUGAAGCUUGCAAGGACUACUGGAAGACAGCAAACUGAUCAUCACAAUAUAUUAAAUCAGGAUAGAGGCCAAGGAACAUCCCCAAAGUAUGGCACCCAUUUCUUUUCUUUCCUGGAAACGUGGACAGAAUGCUUUUAUUCUAUAUAUUGCUGUUCAUAGGACUACCGUAAGAAAAAGGGAGAUGUACUUCAGGCCACAUAUUUCAGGAUCAUAUGCUCUUAAAGAAGGGCACUUCAGCAAACUCAAGCUUACAGUUCACUUAAAGCCACUGUUAUCCCACAAGCAAGCCAGUAACACCCAUAAAACUCAAUUCCCAGUACAUUCAAAGAUCAUACCUAUGUCUUCGAUGUUAAAACACCAACAACAUCGUUAUUCCCAAGGCCCUACACACCAUUCCAAGCAAAUCAUCCCAUCUUUUUUCCUGGCUCUCAGAAUUACAAUCUGGAUCGACACAGAUGGAGAGAAACUGUUCCUCCUGCCAUCAUUGCAGGCCUACAACACAAGCUGCCUUCUCACCACACUGACUGUCAGCAUCAAAGCCACAUCUUAAGGAAGCAUGGCUUCAAAGAGACACGGAUGAAACAAGACAACCCAGGCUAGAGAAGUAAACUGCCAAGUAUAGAGUACCUUGCAGCUUGUUCUCUUAUCAGUAUCAGUCGAUUUCUUUUUACCUCUAGAAUUUAUUCGAGGUGUUUACCCUGAAUUUGUUUUUGUAGUAUAGAACAUGUAAACAAUAAACAGUAUCUACAGUAAUCAGAACACACAGGAAAAUUCAACUCGUGGUUUUACAAAAGUAUAUAAAAACACAUAUACAUACAUGUAGAUAUAUUCACCUACGUACACACAUACGUUUAUUUUUCAGGGAAUACAGGUAAAACCACCCUCAGGUAGAAAGGGAUUCCAGACUGAACUCUACACUGUGUUUUGCAGUAGAAGGGCAAUCUUAAACCCCUCACAUUACUGUACACUCUUCUCAAUCACAGCUCUUCUUUUUGUUUCCAAACGACUUUCAAAUUAAGAAAAAAAAAAAUCAACUAUGCCCUAUAGGAGUGCUUUUUAUCAAAGAAUAUACAAUUUCUUACUCCACAAGCAUUUUGUCAUUAUAGUAAGUACAAAGGCCCUAAAUUUCAGUAAGGAAAGUGAUUUUAAAUGAAUAUUCCAUAAUCACCACCACAACAGAAGUCCAGGAACAUGUUCUUCAGAGCUCUGUUUCACCUUCAGUUUAGUAGUGCUCCAACUACACAAACAUUACAGACAAUCUGAAAACAUUUCAAAUCUCUGAUUGCUUACAA
Molecule: long non-coding RNA, 4481 nt
Organism: Lagopus leucura (white-tailed ptarmigan)
Lineage: Eukaryota; Metazoa; Chordata; Aves; Galliformes; Phasianidae
Exons: 8
Source: RefSeq, a predicted model, not a curated record